Molecule: ribosomal RNA, 501 nt
Filed under: uncultured bacterium
Lineage: Bacteria
Description: bacterial SSU rRNA
Rfam family: Bacterial small subunit ribosomal RNA
Source: RNAcentral
AGAGUUUGAUUCUGGCUCAGGAUGAACGCUGGCGGCGUGCUUAACACAUGCAAGUCGAACGGGAUAUACUUUUAGCUUGCUAAGUUGUAUAUCUAGUGGCGGACGGGUGAGUAACGCGUGGGUAACCUGCCGUAUGCUGGGGGACAACAGUUGGAAACGACUGCUAAUACCGCAUAAGCGCACGAGAUCGCAUGAUCCUGUGUGAAAAACUCCGGUGGCAUACGAUGGACCCGCGUCUGAUUAGCCAGUUGGCAGGGUAACGGCCUACCAAAGCGACGAUCAGUAGCCGGCCUGAGAGGGUGAACGGCCACAUUGGGACUGAGACACGGCCCAGACUCCUACGGGAGGCAGCAGUGGGGAACAUUGCACAAUGGGGGAAACCCUGAUGCAAGCGACGCCGCGUGAGUGAAGAAGUAUUUCGGUAUGUAAAGCUCUAUCAGCAGGAAAGAAAAUGACGGUACCUGACUAAGAAGCCCCGGCUAACUACGUGCCAGCAGCAGC